UUUGCGUGAAUACAUAGCGCAUUCGAGGUAGACGCAGAGAACUGAAACAUCUAAGUACCUGCAGGAAGAGAAAGAAAAUUCGAUUCCCUGAGUAGCGGCGAGCGAAACGGGAAAAGCCCAAACCAAUGAGCUUGCUCAUUGGGGUUGUAGGACUCCAAUAUGGUAGUUCUUUCAGAUAGUCGAAUGACUUGGAAAAGUCAGUCAAAGAGGGUAAAAACCCCGUAGAUGAAAUUUGGAAGGCACCUAGGAGGAUCCUGAGUACGGCGGAACACGAGGAAUUCCGUCGGAAUCCGGGAGGACCAUCUCCCAAGGCUAAAUACUCCCUAGUGACCGAUAGUGAACCAGUACCGUGAGGGAAAGGUGAAAAGCACCCCGGAAGGGGAGUGAAAUAGAACCUGAAACCGUGUGCCUACAACAAGUCAAAGCCCGUUAAUGGGUGAUGGCGUGCCUUUUGUAGAAUGAACCGGCGAGUUACGAUUGCAUGCGAGGUUAAGUUGAAGAGACGGAGCCGCAGCGAAAGCGAGUCUGAAUAGGGCGUUUGAGUAUGUAGUCGUAGACCCGAAACCAUGUGAUCUACCCAUGUCCAGGUUGAAGGUGCGGUAAAACGCACUGGAGGACCGAACCCACGUACGUUGAAAAGUGCGGGGAUGAGGUGUGGGUAGCGGAGAAAUUCCAAACGAACUUGGAGAUAGCUGGUUCUCUCCGAAAUAGCUUUAGGGCUAGCCUCGGAAUUGAGAAUGAUGGAGGUAGAGCACUGUUUGGACUAGGGGCCCAUCUCGGGUUACCGAAUUCAGAUAAACUCCGAAUGCCAUUCAUUCAUAUCCGGGAGUCAGACUGUGAGUGAUAAGAUCCAUAGUCGAAAGGGAAACAGCCCAGACCACCAGCUAAGGUCCCAAAAUAUAUGUUAAGUGGAAAAGGAUGUGGGGUUGCACAGACAACU
This 940-nucleotide ribosomal RNA is filed under the name Enterococcus hirae. Its description in RNAcentral is "partial 23S ribosomal RNA". It matches the Rfam family "Bacterial large subunit ribosomal RNA", at positions 153 to 1094 of the family's 2925-position model. The record is from RNAcentral. Lineage: Bacteria; Bacillati; Bacillota; Bacilli; Lactobacillales; Enterococcaceae.